Long non-coding RNA from Mesocricetus auratus (golden hamster), 1664 nucleotides. RefSeq lists it as uncharacterized. The record is from RefSeq and is a predicted model, not a curated record. NCBI's taxonomy places the organism in Eukaryota, Metazoa, Chordata, Mammalia, Rodentia, Cricetidae. The transcript has 2 exons.
ACCCUACAAGAAGAAAGUAAGUUUGUGAGUGACUGUUCUGCCAAGUGGCUCUCCAUCAAGCAAUUGGCGGGACUCAAGCCUCUUGUGCUUAAGAUUUACAGUACACUGGGCACUGGAGGAAGACAGAAGGAAGAAAGGUAAGCAAGUAGAGCUAUGCAGAAAGGCACCUCUGAUCAGACUGGAAUGGAGUCAGCAUAGGAGAAGCAUCACUAACAGGACACAUGACACAUGACACCUAAUGCUAGUGGCCAUGUGGAAGAACUUUUCCAAUGAAAUCCAUAAUCACAAGUUGAUAAAAAUUUAGUGAGUAGGCCUCUUUGGGUGAGCGACUCCCAGAAAGUUUCCCAGUUCCUCUACUCUAGAUGAAUUCUCAACUGUUUCAGCAGCUGUUUGAAAACCAAAAGCAAACAGGCGGCGCCAUCCACUCCAACAAAGUUGUUGGUAUUGGGUGGGUUUUUCACACCCUCAGUUUUGUACUUCAGUGUUAAAAUUUUCAAAUAAAUACACAUUUGAAAUGUUCCAAUAACAAACAAAAAAUGCCUUACAUAACAAAAUAGCUUAAUUAACAGACUCAAAAAUAAGAUUUGAAAAAAUAAAUAAGCCUGCUUACUAACCAAGAAGGCCAUGGGACAAGCUGCUGUCAUGUCCCAACCCAUAACCCACCCACAAGACCUUUUUUCCCUUGGAAAUACUGAAGACUUAGUGUUCAUAUGUUUGAGGUAAAGGUUUUAUUUGGUAAAUUUAAAAACCAAUAAUCUAUGAAAUGAGCUAUUCACUCUAUUCUGAAUCAGGGUUAUCUGAUUCCAUGUCUAGAACAAAUGAAAUGUAAUGGAAACAAUGAGCGGUAUGCAACAGAACAAGAAAUGUAAUUUUAAAACCAACUAAUUUCAAUCAAGACAGGAAAAGAAGCCUAUGAAGAAAUAACGGUUAUCUGAUGUUAUAAUCUCCUGAUUACCAUGAGAGGCUGUUUAGAAGACAUGGUCUAACUUAACUGAUUUCAAAGCUCAGCCUCGUAACGCCACAAAAAACAAACAACAACAAAAAACAGCCUUGUGGGUGCCACAAAAGGAGGCUGCUGUGUGUGAAGACAACAGCCCUCAGUACCAGACAAGGAGGUGUUCACCACAGAAGAGUGGCGGAGGCCUGAAGCCCAGCUCGCUGGCCGGGAGAACUGGGCGCCCUAGCAGUGCAAUCACCCAGUAUCCAUACAAGUGGAUGGAACAAGUGCUGCUUCUUUGAAUAUCUGCUUCCAGCACAAACCAGCAGCAGAACUUGAGAACAGGCUCUACUGCCACCUGUUAUCCUUAUCUUUGUAAGAAAGGCAAGUGAGGAGGGAGAGGGAGCUGGGAUUGACAUGUGAAGCAAGCUUGUUUCUAAUUUAAAAUAAUUAUAUUAAAAAAAAAAAAAGGCAAGCAAUGCUUUAAAGUUUGAAGGACCAUAAUACUAUUAGUUUGCUUGUCCCAGCACAUGAGGUGCAUCUCCUGCACCUACAUGCCCAGGAAAUACUAGCUACUUCUCUUAAGGCCAGUAAGUAAAAUUAAUCUUUACCAUAAAGACAGUAGUGAUUUAUGAUUUACCUGGUUACUCGCAUCACCCAAACCUUCCUCCCAUCCAGGCUGAGACUCCCGGCCUAUUCUCACCUAAUAAACUAGGAUCUGCUCGAA